GGGCGCAGCCUACCCUUAAAUAGGGAUCAACUGAUGAACCAUAGAAUAGAGCGCUGACAUCACGUGCGUCUAAAAAUAAAUUUUAGGCGGGAAGACUCGACGACAAUGUUUUUAUUAUCAAUUAUCGUGGAAAGAUGCGAUAAUUGCGAUCCUUAUUUCAUCAACUUUCUGUAUUUUGAUUAGGGCACUAAUAUAGCUGUGAUUGAUUAAUAGGUACUGACAUGUUAGUUUGAAUUAUGGAUCCUAUUAGUUUUUCUGGAGACGACGAUAAUAUAAUUGAAUUCCAAAAAAAUACCUUGCAAUUCGAAAAGGAACAAGAAGAGAGAUGGACAUCAUUUUUUUCAAAACAUUCAGUUGAUAUGGACUUGGAGUCUAUUCCAUCUGUUGGUAUAUAUGAAGUCCGAAAUGACUUCGAUUCAAAAAGCGAUGAGAACUCCUCAGUUGACCAAUCUGACGAAAUAAUUGAAUGCAAAAACAAUGUAGAAGUAGCAAAUGUGAGUAAAAAUAAUAGAAAAAAAGGGUUUCCUAAAAAAGUACCUACAGUCAUAAGGGUAAAUGAUGAAAAAACUGAUUCCUUACUUGAGCAGUCUGAAGAAAUAAUUAAAUCAGAAAGUCAUGAAGUACUUGAAAAUAUUGAAACCAUCAAGAAAAAUAAACUACCUAAAAUAGUUCCUAAAAAUAAAAUAAUAGGGUCAGAUAUAUUAUCAGUCAAUGCAAUUGAAAAAAGCAAUACAAACUUUAUUGUCGAACAAUCGAAAAGAAUCAUUGAAACUGAAAGCAAUGACGGAGAAAAUGUAGGAAAAAAGAACAAUAAAAAGGAGGUCUGUCAAAUGAUAUCUACAGUUACAAAUAGUUAUUCUAAAGGAUGUGGAUAUCAAUUAAAAUUAUCAGAUAAUAUGUCACAAAUAGUAAUCCAAAAAGUGCUGGUAAAUUUUAUUGAAGGUGAAUUGAAAAGUAGAUUAGGAUAUUAUUUUGUUUUCUUAUAUAGCUCUUGCAUACAAAGAGACAAAAAUCAGGGCCUAUGGAGAGAUGUAUUUGUGAAGGAGCUUAUUAAGGUGGGAAAAAAAGUGAAUAACAAGGACAUUCUUACAUACAUACAAAGAAUUUUUGAUCCUGCUAAACCUAUAAAUUCUAAAGCUCUUAUUGAUACAGUAGAAAAUAAAUAUAAAAGUGAACUAAGAUCAUAUUUUGAAAGAGCAUAUGAUAGUGAUCAUUCUUCUGAUGAGGAAAUUUGGAAUAAGAUACAUUUGGAAUGGAAUAGAUUGAAUAAAAAUAUUCCUGAAAAAUGUCUUUGUAUAUAUCAUAGACAACUAUUUGGUCCUAUUUCAAUCAUUAAUUCUUAAUUUUUAUUGAUGUUGUAAUGGAUGCUUAUAAAUGUUGAAAGAGUAAUACAAACACAUUUAUCUGAAGCAAGUGAUGAAAAUUGAAAACGACUUCUUCCUAGUGAAGAUCAUAUAAUGAAGAAAGACAGUUGAAGGCCUAAACUGUUUUAUAAUGUUUACUUGGGUCCAUCAAGUGGAGUUGAGUAUAUUCAAUAUCAAUAUCAAAUAUAUCAAAUAUGGAACUUAUGUUUAUUUUGUUAAAAUUCAGUGUAUAAUGUCUCAUUUUUUUAUGUUUUCCUAAUAAAACUUCAUUUUUUAAUUAUUAUUUCCAAUAGAAAAUCCUUUGAAAUCAUUGAAAAAAAUUGAAUUUAUAAAUUUAUAUCUUACUCAAUAUUUCGAAAACCAUAAUAAUAUUUGAGAAGCAUUAUUGAAGAAGAAAAAUCAAACACUACGUUAACAAAAAAAUUUAUUUUUUAUUUUCAGAGAUGACUAAUGAAUCUUGGAGUUUGGUACAUCCAUUAGUACGUUAAAUAUUCAUUUAUAUUUUUUAUUUAUUCAACAUUAGCAAGAAUUACAAUUACAAGGAUUCAUAAAAAAAAAAGAAGAAAUUUACAAUUGAUAAUGAACAUAAACUAUCAGAUAAAACUCUUAAAUAUCAACAAUAUCACAUAAAAUAAACAACUCAGUAAUUUCUACAUAGGUACAAAUAUUCUUUCUUUAAAACAACUUGGGAAAUGUUGAAAAUGUCAAUAAAGAAAUGUGCUAGUCAUAAAACCACAUGGUUCUAAAAAAAAUGGAGUUAUUACAUUAUCUCAGUGAACACGAACAAGAAACACGUAUAUUUCGAAUACUCUGUGGCAGACUGUGUUUUCUAAUAGUUGUGAUGAUGAUAGUGAUCAAAUUGUUUGUGAGUUAUGAAUAGUAAGAUCUGAUUGAUAGAUUCUACUAACUGCUUCAUUAAAAUUCUCUGGGGUCAUCGAAAUUUCAACAAUUAAUUAUUAUUAUGACCAUUCAUUUUAAGAUAUUUGUUCAUUUUUUUAUAAUUAUACUUAUGCGCAUACUAUUGCGACUGAACGUGCGUCGCGGCUCCCCACCGAAUAUUACAAACAUCAUUGUGUAUGUUGCAAAUUCCAGCUGUUGGAUUCAGUCCACACAAAGUCGUGGGACGGAUAGCUGAUUUUCAGGUAUAAUUGGUGGCUGGCGUUUGCGUAAUUUCCUUUAAUUUUUCUUCCCGUGAUCCUAUUUCCUCCUUUAUCGUGGCCUUCCCAUCUGUGGUAAGUCUUCCUUACAGGCCCAAGGAAGUGAAGGGUUUACUUGUUUUCCUUGCAACCCUUUAAUUUUCUUCAGAUUCUUUGAGAAAGUAUCAGUAUGCCUCAGAUUUGUCCUGUCUGUUCUAAUAUUACUGAAGGCGCUGGUCCGACGCAUCAGUGCUCUGUAUGUAGAAAACUUUUUCAUUUAAGAUUCGUUAAUUUAUCGGAAACGGAGGUCGAUUAUAUGAGGGAUUCUAACACUAAAUGGCGGUGCCUCACUUGUGAUUCUCGUGAACGAACUCUUCGUGGCAAGUCUCAGGGAGAUCAAUCAAUCACUAUGGAGCAUUUUACGCUCCUUAUGCAGCAAAUAACGACAAUUGCGGAAGAAGUCAAAUCCAUAAGAGAUAACCAGGCUGUGUUGGUUGAGGAACUCGCAAAGUGCCGUACUACACCAGGGAACCAUUCUUCUGUUCUGUCUGAGCAUAGGAAUGAGAUCGAUGAAUGCCAUGCUAAAAUAGCUGCGCAAGAUGAUCGUCAGUCAAGUCUUAGCAGACAUUUGAGAAAGUCCAGCAGGAAGUCAAUGUUUUGGGAAGCUCUUCUCCUCGUGGGGGACCGCAGUCUGUCAUAUCGUCGUUUAAUUUGAUCCUAAAUAAUGUUCCGAAAAAUUCGUCCAUGGAGGGUGAUAAUCGGAAGGCAUCGUAUAUUUUGCGCUCAAUUGGGGAAAUGUGUCUGUUCAAACGAUUAGAACAAAACGUCUGGGUAGGAUUUCGAAUUCGAGGACAAGAGUCACGCUCCAGAGUGCUAUGGAUGUGAUGUCUUUGCUGGGGAAUAGGAAAAAAUUACUGAACAAUGAAACUUAUAAACGUGUUACUGUCACGAAUGAUAAAACACCAAUCCAACUUGUCGAACUGCAGUGCCUACGGAAGGAGCUCAAAACCAGAGAGGCGAAAAGUGGAAGAGACAUAACUAUCAAGUAUAAAAAGGCAUUCCAUCUAUCGAUACUUGAGUUGCUUCAUUAAAAAACUAGCCCUUACAGUGAAUGAGUGGAAAUUUAUUUACACCAAUGGUCAAUCCCUUCAAAGCUCAAAACUUUCUGAAUUUUUGGUCUUCGUACAGUCGUAUAAACCCUUUAUCAUUUUCAUUUCCGAAUUCUGGCUCCAACCCUCUGUAGCAGACUCUGUUGUUAAUAUUUCAAAUUACCAGCUUUAUAGAGCUGACAGUACUACCACAAAAGGACAUGGACGAGUUUGCAUUUAUUGAGGGAAAUUUCCUUUUUUUUUCUACAAUCUCUGCCCAUCGCGUUGAUGUUUCUGGAAUUGAUAACAUCUUCGUUGAUAUCAUGUUUGGUAGUCUCCAGUUAACUAUAGGCUGUGUUUGACAGUAUAUUUUCUGCCCAUUUGGCCUCCCUAUCUAGAGAGAAAAAGAAUCUGCUUAUUGUAAUAAGCAGAUUCUAUUUCUCUCUAGAUGAAGUCUCCUGUAGGAGACUUCAACCUUCCUAACAUCGAUUGGCCUCUUGGCGGCUGCCUGCCUAUCUGAUCGCCUUCAUAUUUUUAUGCAGAGAUAGUCCUUGAUUCGAGUCUUGUUCAGCUUGUGACCGGCCCCACUAGAUUCCGAGCCGAUCAGAAUUCAUCUCUGUUGGAUUUGAUAUUGGUUAAUGAUGAAGACCUUAUCUCAGAUAUCAACUGUUUACCCCCAUUUGGAAAAUCUGACCAUUUAACACUUGAAUCAAAAAUUCAGUUUACUACAUCGAAGAAGACCAACAUUGUCAGGAGAAUGAUUAAGUCCAUCGAUUGUGAUUCAAGUUUGAAUAAUAUUCCUAAAAUUGAAGAAAUAAUGUUGCGCGGUUGUGAACAUAUCCAGCCCCAUUUUUUCUGAAGAUAUUUUCUGAAUGUUUUAUUAUUUUGUCUUAAAGUUCAUUAGCCAAUAUAAAUGGAAAAUAUGAAGAAACUAGUGUGUAGUGAAGCAACGGUUAUUUGAAUAAUAUGUAUUUCGGCAAAGUAUUAUUGUUUUCAAUUCAUAAUAAUCAUUCUUCUUAAAUGUUAUUUUAAAAUUUUUUUAAUUAUGUAUAAUCCAUUCACCAGGUCAGAGGGGUGCUCAGCUUAAAUAUGAAGAUAUUUUCCAACCUUUUAUUAAAUUCCUAUUAUUUGGAUUUGUUUCUAAAUAUCAAAAAUAUUCAGUAAUACUGAGAAAAAAAUUAUGUUCAUUUUUCAUCAUAUUUUUUUCCUCAAUAAAUAUCACAAGUAUUCACGAAAUACUUCUGGUUACCUACAUUUGAAAGGAAUGUUUUAGAGGGCGCAGCCUACCCUUAAAUAGGGAUCAACUGAUGAACCAUAGAAUAGAGCGCUGACAUCACGUGCGUCUAAAAAUAAAUUUUAGGCGGGAAGACUCGACGACAAUGUUUUUAUUAUCAAUUAUCGUGGAAAGAUGCGAUAAUUGCGAUCCUUAUUUCAUCAACUUUCUGUAUUUUGAUUAGGGCACUAAUAUAGCUGUGAUUGAUUAAUAGGUACUGACAUGUUAGUUUGAAUUAUGGAUCCUAUUAGUUUUUCUGGAGACGACGAUAAUAUAAUUGAAUUCCAAAAAAAUACCUUGCAAUUCGAAAAGGAACAAGAAGAGAGAUGGACAUCAUUUUUUUCAAAACAUUCAGUUGAUAUGGACUUGGAGUCUAUUCCAUCUGUUGGUAUAUAUGAAGUCCGAAAUGACUUCGAUUCAAAAAGCGAUGAGAACUCCUCAGUUGACCAAUCUGACGAAAUAAUUGAAUGCAAAAACAAUGUAGAAGUAGCAAAUGUGAGUAAAAAUAAUAGAAAAAAAGGGUUUCCUAAAAAAGUACCUACAGUCAUAAGGGUAAAUGAUGAAAAAACUGAUUCCUUACUUGAGCAGUCUGAAGAAAUAAUUAAAUCAGAAAGUCAUGAAGUACUUGAAAAUAUUGAAACCAUCAAGAAAAAUAAACUACCUAAAAUAGUUCCUAAAAAUAAAAUAAUAGGGUCAGAUAUAUUAUCAGUCAAUGCAAUUGAAAAAAGCAAUACAAACUUUAUUGUCGAACAAUCGAAAAGAAUCAUUGAAACUGAAAGCAAUGACGGAGAAAAUGUAGGAAAAAAGAACAAUAAAAAGGAGGUCUGUCAAAUGAUAUCUACAGUUACAAAUAGUUAUUCUAAAGGAUGUGGAUAUCAAUUAAAAUUAUCAGAUAAUAUGUCACAAAUAGUAAUCCAAAAAGUGCUGGUAAAUUUUAUUGAAGGUGAAUUGAAAAGUAGAUUAGGAUAUUAUUUUGUUUUCUUAUAUAGCUCUUGCAUACAAAGAGACAAAAAUCAGGGCCUAUGGAGAGAUGUAUUUGUGAAGGAGCUUAUUAAGGUGGGAAAAAAAGUGAAUAACAAGGACAUUCUUACAUACAUACAAAGAAUUUUUGAUCCUGCUAAACCUAUAAAUUCUAAAGCUCUUAUUGAUACAGUAGAAAAUAAAUAUAAAAGUGAACUAAGAUCAUAUUUUGAAAGAGCAUAUGAUAGUGAUCAUUCUUCUGAUGAGGAAAUUUGGAAUAAGAUACAUUUGGAAUGGAAUAGAUUGAAUAAAAAUAUUCCUGAAAAAUGUCUUUGUAUAUAUCAUAGACAACUAUUUGGUCCUAUUUCAAUCAUUAAUUCUUAAUUUUUAUUGAUGUUGUAAUGGAUGCUUAUAAAUGUUGAAAGAGUAAUACAAACACAUUUAUCUGAAGCAAGUGAUGAAAAUUGAAAACGACUUCUUCCUAGUGAAGAUCAUAUAAUGAAGAAAGACAGUUGAAGGCCUAAACUGUUUUAUAAUGUUUACUUGGGUCCAUCAAGUGGAGUUGAGUAUAUUCAAUAUCAAUAUCAAAUAUAUCAAAUAUGGAACUUAUGUUUAUUUUGUAAAAAUUCAGUGUAUAAUGUCUCAUUUUUUUAUGUUUUCCUAAUAAAACUUCAUUUUUUAA
Harmonia axyridis is the source of this 6503-nucleotide RNA transcript. RefSeq lists it as uncharacterized. Lineage: Eukaryota; Metazoa; Arthropoda; Insecta; Coleoptera; Coccinellidae. The transcript has 3 exons. The record is from RefSeq and is a predicted model, not a curated record.